AAGUUAAGGAUUUAAGUUAAAUAAACUUUUAACCUUCAAAGUUAAAUAUAGAGGUUCUCUAAGCCUUA
Molecule: transfer RNA, 68 nt
Filed under: Spilopyra sumptuosa
Lineage: Eukaryota; Metazoa; Arthropoda; Insecta; Coleoptera; Chrysomelidae
Description: tRNA-Trp
Source: RNAcentral